RNAcentral lists this transfer RNA (85 nucleotides) under Escherichia coli. Its description in RNAcentral is "tRNA-Tyr". It matches the Rfam family "tRNA". From Rfam's summary of the family: Transfer RNA (tRNA) molecules are approximately 80 nucleotides in length. Their secondary structure includes four short double-helical elements and three loops (D, anti-codon, and T loops). RNAcentral also lists the same sequence under 1 other name. Lineage: Bacteria; Pseudomonadati; Pseudomonadota; Gammaproteobacteria; Enterobacterales; Enterobacteriaceae. The record is from RNAcentral.
GGAGGGGUUCCCGAGCGGCCAAAGGGAGCAGACUGUAAAUCUGCCGUCAUCGACUUCGAAGGUUCGAAUCCUUCCCCCACCACCA